RNAcentral lists this ribosomal RNA (254 nucleotides) under uncultured bacterium. RNAcentral's name for it is "partial 16S ribosomal RNA". It matches the Rfam family "Bacterial small subunit ribosomal RNA", at positions 524 to 776 of the family's 1533-position model. The record is from RNAcentral.
UACGUAGGGGGCAAGCGUUGUCCGGAUUUAUUGGGCGUAAAGAGCUCGUAGGUGGUUCGGUAAGUCGGAUGUGAAAUCUCCAGGCUCAACCUGGAGGGGUCAUUCGAUACUGCCGUGACUAGAGGUCGGUAGGGGAGUGUGGAAUUCCUGGUGGAGCGGUGAAAUGCGUAGAUAUCGAGAGGAACACCUGCGGCGAAGGCGGGUAGCUGGGCCGACACUGACGCUGAUGCGCGAAAGCCAGGGGAGCGAACGGG